GAUGAACGCGGGCGGCGUGCUUAACACAUGCAAGUCGAACGAACCUUGAGGAGCUUGCUCCUCUUGGUUAGUGGCGGACGGGUGAGUAACGCGUGGGUAACCUGCCCUAUAGAGGGGGAUAACGUUUGGAAACGAACGCUAAUACCGCAUAACAAAGAAUCUUCGCAUGAAGAAUCUUUCAAAGAUUUAUCGCUAUAGGAUGGACCCGCGUUGGAUUAGCUAGUUGGUGAGAUAACAGCCCACCAAGGCGACGAUCCAUAGCCGGCCUGAGAGGGUGAACGGCCACAUUGGGACUGAGACACGGCCCAAACUCCUACGGGAGGCAGCAGUGGGGAAUAUUGCACAAUGGGCGCAAGCCUGAUGCAGCGACGCCGCGUGAAGGAUGAAGGUCUUCGGAUUGUAAACUUCUAUCAGCAGGGAAGAAUAAGAACUUUAGUUCUUUAAUGACGGUACCUGACUAAGAAGCACCGGCUAACUACGUGCCAGCAGCCGCGGUAAUACGUAGGGUGCGAGCGUUAUCCGGAAUUACUGGGUGUAAAGGGUGCGUAGGCGGCUAAGUAAGUCAGAUGUGAAAACUCAGGGCUCAACCUUGAGGCUGCAUUUGAAACUGCGUAGCUAGAGUGUGGGAGAGGAAAGUGGAAUUCCGAGUGUAGCGGUGAAAUGCGUAGAGAUUCGGAGGAACACCAGUAGCGAAGGCGGCUUUCUGGACCAUAACUGACGCUGAGGCACGAAAGCGUGGGGAGCAAACAGGAUUAGAUACCCUGGUAGUCCACGCUGUAAACGAUGAAUGCUAGGUGUUGGGGGCGACAGCUUUCAGUGCCGAAGUUAACACAUUAAGCAUUCCACCUGGGAAGUACGAUCGCAAGAUUG
Molecule: ribosomal RNA, 870 nt
Filed under: uncultured bacterium
Lineage: Bacteria
Description: bacterial SSU rRNA
Rfam family: Bacterial small subunit ribosomal RNA
Source: RNAcentral